This is a long non-coding RNA of Triticum urartu, 8173 nucleotides long. RefSeq lists it as uncharacterized. NCBI's taxonomy places the organism in Eukaryota, Viridiplantae, Streptophyta, Magnoliopsida, Poales, Poaceae. The record is from RefSeq and is a predicted model, not a curated record.
ACCCGUCCUCUUCUCUGCCCGCCGCAGCCUCGCUCCCCCUUCGACCUAGAACCUCCUGUGGCGGCAGGCCAGCGAGCAGAGAGAGAGAGAGAGAGAGAGAGAUGAGCGCCCCUUCUCCUGCAGUCCCGCCCCCCCUCCCAGCCUCAAUCUGCCGGCGGGGAAUUUAGGAUUCCAGCGAGCAGGGGCGCAUCGGUGAUCCUUUGGCGCGCGGCUGCGACGGAAAUGGACUCGCCGGGUGUCCAUGGCGGAUGGCGGCGGCGACAGCGCGGAGACCUAUGUGGUCUGCCUGCAGAGCGUCGGCUCCACGAGAGCGAGUCGGAGGAUUUGGAAGGAGAGAUGGAUCCAAGCACUCUACGCAAUGAUAGGAUGAUUGCUCUUUCAACAUAUUCUAUUAGCGAGGAUGGCAAGUGAAAGUGGGAGCGACUGGAUCACUAUUCCUAUCAUGCAUUGUAGACAUGAUGCAUUGGACAUCUGUCUACAAAUUGUCCUCGGAUGAGGAAAUUCCAAUUAUCUUGCUGUGGUGUGCUGCUCUUUUUUGGCACUCAUUUUAUAUCACUACAAUUGUUCAAACAACAUGGAGGGUCGGUAAGGACGUCGUGGAUGCUGUAAGUUUGCUUGUCCUUGUAUGCCUUGCUUUCCCAUUUAGUAUGUAUAUCACUUUAUUCAAUUAAGAAAGGCAUUUUAGACCCUCACGGUAAGAAGUCGUCUCAAGAAGAGUGGCGCCAGAAUAACCAUAGCUGUCAAUAGGCGGAAGUGGGCAAGCGCGAAAGCCAUAUGUUGAGCUGGAGGCGGUGCAUUGCCAACAGAAGGAGGCAUGGUAGUCGAAGGAGAUGGCGCAUUAGAAGAAUCUACAACACGCGGACCACCAAUGUGGUAAAGAAGAGGGGAGGGGGGAGGUGUAUCGCUGGAGAAGCCUCAGGGGACGAGCGAGGUGAGGCAGCCUCAGGUAACGAAUGAGGUGGGGAAGCCGUAGGUGACGACGACAUGGGGUUUACUAUAAUAGUAUGGAAGACACGGUGGGAUGGGUGGACAAGGACAAACCAUGAUUGAUAGGUGUAUCAGGAAAAGUAAGGAAAGAAAUGUCCUCAAUAGGAGGAUGGACGUGGAUAGAAAGGAUGAAACUCAUCAAAAGUCACAUCCGAGAAAUGCGCAUCCGCCGAACGAUUUGAUCCCAACACUGAUGUGCUCAUCACUUCAACCUAAGAACACACAUUCAAUAGAUUGAGGAGUCUGUUUGGUGUGUUGGGUGGGGGAGGGGGGCAAGAAGAACAUAGCAAACGUAACGAAACAAACGAAGUGCUGAAUAAUCACGAGAAUGACCAAAAAGACGCUUCAGAGAAAUUACACCACGCUGAUGGUUGAAUCUUGAUGAGAUAGGUGAAAGUAGAGCAACGUCAACCCAUAAGUAACGCGGAAGAGAGCCGGUGAUCAUCAACGCAUGAACCGCCUCAAGAAGGUGACGAUGCUUGCGCUCAUCAACACCAUAAUUUGAACACGUGGACAAGAGAACUGAACAAGUGUGCCCUACUCAGCAAAGAAUCCACGCAGCAAAUGAGAGAUAUACUCACGAGCAGAAUCUGCACGGAAGACAUGGGCAUGAGUGGAAAACUGAGUAUGAACCAUGGUGGCAAACUUCUUAGGGCGAGUGCUUUUGCUGCCUUUUUGGGCUUCCAGAAUAAGCUGCCCCCUACCCAACUUAUUCUAGAAACCCAACCAAAUUUAUUUUUAGAAGCCUAUAAAAACCCAACCAAAUUUAUUUUGUUGGGUUUCUAGAAUAAGCUAGGUAGGGCGCAACUUAUUCCAGCUAUUUCUAGAAGCCACCAAAAGAACUGUGUGUCAAGAGAAAUGAUCUAUGGAGAAUAUAGUAGUGAUGGCCUCCUUUCGAGGCAAAGGGAGCUGGACCCCAAACAUCAGAGGUAACAAGAUCGAAAGGACGUUGAGACACCGUCUCGCUAUGAGGAUAAAGUAAUUGAACUUGUUUACCAAGCCGACAAACCUGAUGGUCUAAAAACACAAUGCUAAAGACAGAUCCAAGAAGACCAUGUCGAACUAGGUCUGAGGGACGAGAGCCACACAAGUGACCGAGACAAUGAUGCCACAAAGAGCCGGUAGUCAAGGUAAAAGGGGUGAAGAGAUUGAUGGCGGUGGCAGAGGGAAGGUGAAGCCUGUCAAGCUCCUGGAGGCCCUAGGAGUUACAAUGCCGAGGGCAAGCACCAAGUAGAGCACCCGUGUGACGAUCCUAAUCCAAACAAGAGUCAAAGUCGAGAUUGACUACAACCAGAGUCGACAAUCUGAUCACUUGAAAUGAGCUACAUGGUAAGUCAAGAAACUUGACCAAAAGGAGCAUGAAAAGAAAAAGUGUUAAGAUUGUCUCGAUGAUCGAUUGGGAGGGGAGUACCAUCAGCAGUAAGAACAUGAAUAGGAGAAUCUAGAGGUUUGAAUGGAGGACAAACUAGAAGAAUCAUGAGUCAUAUGAAAAGAUGCUACACUAUCAAGGAUCGAUGGAAAAUUUAGCUGACUGACUUCGUAAAAAGUGGUAUCAAUAUUGAAAGAAUCAACUACAAAACUAUUGAUGGAGAACUAAAAGAAGCAUCUAGCAGACACUGAAAUCUCGUAAUCCCCAGUGUAGUCAGGGGUUCAACUGAAGCAGUAGGUAGGUGUCGAAGUCGUGCAAUCUCCUGCGUGGUGAAGGACACCGCUGAAGUGGCCGACGUCGAAUCAUCGGAAGAGAAGUGUCCACCACCACCCGCGUAAGCCGCUAGAAGAAGCGGUGUAGCACGACAAGCACCAAGCGCGAAGGGAAGGCGCAUGUCCGAUGUAGUCGAUGGAGUGAUGUGCACCAACACUACUGAUGAAAGCCGCGAGGGGAGUCUGUGUAGAGCGACCAUCACCGUCAACAGAGGUCACGAGAGGCGACACUAUGGAGCCACCACCACAGCCUACGGAAGGCACCGGGUGGGAGCAACGUCAUAGGUGGAGGAGCAUCAAGCAUCGAUGGACGACACAUGUGCGAGAUGGGGUUAGUGUAGGGUAAGCUUGAGAAACUAUGUCCAAUGAAGUCAACACACCUGUUUUUUGUUCCUAUACUCUAAUACAAAACUAGGUCCGUCUUACAAAACAAGGGAGCAAAAGAGCAAGGAAGAGCAGCGAAUAGGGUACAUGAGGUAGGGGCAAAGCUAGUCAGCAGGAUGGGCUGCCGGGUCUGAGGUCUAGUGGCGAAGUUUGUCAUUAAGGUCCUGCGUGUAGCAAGAGGGAGCCGAUACCGUGACCUGUCAUUGAGGUCCUGCGCGUAGUAAGAGGGAGCCGAUACCGUGACCUGCAACAAAGGACGUCUUGAAGAUUGCGGUUGGCGCCAACUAGUUUGAGUUUGCGACAAUGCGUGGCCUCUUGUAGUGGUAGGGCGCUGGCCUCCCGGAGAUGGCGGCGAGGCGUUGACCUUCUAUACAUGGCGAUGAGGCGCGACCUCCUGAAGAUGUAGGCUAGAUAGCCUACGGUGCGAGCACGAGGAGGUGGCCACAAGGGGCGAGCCUGAUGGAGGCGGAGGUACGGAGAUCGGAAGGGCAUGAUGAGAGGGGCGACAUGUGGGAAUUUAUUGGGGCGCGAGAGGCCCGGACAAGGAAGGGGGUGAUCCUGAUCUAGAGGCAGCGGAGCGAUGACGAUAGUCGUCGGGAUAGACACCGACGCGGGUCAGGGAGGUGUGGUUGCACAUGAGCGUACUAGCCUGAGAAAAAUUGAUCAAAAACUUGGGAUCGAUUUGAAGAGGAACGUGAGUUGUGUGUGAGGAAGAAAUCCUAGGCUUUAAUACCAUGUUAGGAAUAUGCAACUUGUAUUCCCAGUUGGACAUAGACUAGAAGUACAUGUGUGUUGCAAUAUGCAGAAAGCCCCUUGUAUAAUGGAAAAAAUACAAAGGGUACACAACUAUAAUAUAUUACUCCAACAUGUUGAACACUUUGGCACUGUGUUCCUUCCAAAUGGUCUAGAAUGCGAGCAACACUACUGACUCGAGUUCGUAGUGCACCGAAGGUGGCAUUGUCGCCCGACGGCUAAUCCACCAGUUGGAAAGGGAAACGCCGCCCCUUAGGGGCAUUGGUGAUGCUGAAGAGGCGAACACCAAUUCUAGAUUGAUGUCGAGAAGGAACAACUGGUGAACAUGCGUUGAGAAGUCUUUGGGGCACUCAAGCAGAUGGUGUAGGCGACGUGGAUGUCCAUACAGUGGCGAUGACGAUGGUAAGUAGACCAUAAAUGGUACCUCAAGAUAUCUGCCAACCGCGUUGUUGCAACCGCAAUCCGAAGCCGAGCUUCAUCAUCGUGUCGUUGUCUCUAUAGAUUGUCGAUCGUUGAUGACCCAAGCGUUGUGUUCCUUCUAAAUUGUCUAGAUUGUGAGCAACAAUGCUGGCUUAAGAUCCUGGCGCACCAAAGAUGGAGUGGUUGCUCGACAACCAAUCCACUAGUCGGAACGGGAAAUGUCGGACCCUGGUUGUGAGGGCAAGAGUGACACCAAAGAGGCGAGCAACGAUUGCUAGAUUGCUGCUGAGGAGCAACUGAUGAACAUGUGUUUGGCAGUCUCAGGGGCACUAGAGUAGAGGGGACAUGCGACAUGGUUGACAAGACCAUGCUAAUGAUGACAACCGAUGGACCACAAACGUUUGUGGGGAGUGAGCCACAUGUGGAUCUUGCAUUUGAUGGAUGCCCACGCUUUCCACAACACUUUGUUGUGCGGGACGAGCUGGAGCCCAUGAAGAACACACGAUACGCGAAGUACUUGACGAUGUAUGUUUGCUUCCAAAGCGGGUGAUCUUCCUCCUCCUUGAGUACCAAUAUUGAUUGGAGAGCCCACGUGCGAGGCUCGUUGGGCGGUGCUGAUUAAGGUUAAGGCUCUCUUCAGUCGUCCUGCUUUUUACAUCGCCAUGCAGGUGGCUUAGGCAAUGCAAAGGACGUCAAAUUCAUACCACUUAUUAUUACACUUUUACAACAGAGUUUAAGUGUUUUGGGGAUUGGAAUCACAACCAUGCAUGGGGCUCCUUGGCUCUUUAGGCACCAUGUUAUGGUAAUUGAGGAGUAUACUGGAAUAUGUCACCCUUAUAACUCCGCAUGUGUUUGGGCUCGGAUCAUGGGUCGAUCGGACUUGCUGCAUUACAGGGUAGUGGCUAAAGCAAUGGCUUCCAAGACAGGAGAAGACGAGAAGUGUUAGAUGUGGAGCUUGGGCUAAAUGGCGUUGAAUAUGAAAGUUUGUUUGAGUGCACGUCAAGGUCAAAUUGGAGAAGCCCCCUUUGAGGUUGUUAGGGAAUGUUGAGCUAGGUAAACUGCCCAAUUGUUCCCCGUGCUAUAUGAGAAGAUGUUGCAUUUUUGCGCAAAUUAUGAUAAAAUGUUAUAGAACAAUGCAUGGAUGGGGUUCAUGAUCCAAAGAAGUUUCAGUUUAGCGAUUUUAUGAUGAUGAGUUCAUUGCUCAACCUCGUGGUAGCACUACUUGUGGAAGAUGUGGCUGGGUAGUAGAGGCCAAGGUGGUCGUGGAGGGCAAGUUGGGGCAUGCCUCGAACCGAUGUAUAAGGAGAAAGAUUAUUUUCACCCUACGAAUGGAAAUACCGGUACAUGCAAUGUUAAUGCAAACAAUGUGAAUGCAAGCGGAGUGAUUGCAGGCAACCGUGCAUCGGCCAAGGACCCUUCCUUGGCGCUAGGGGGAAGGAAAGUGUCAUGUCUUAUAAAAUACCAUGAGGGGAAAACUGGGGCGAGCAACUCAGCUCAGGGCAGCUCUUUGCAAGUUCAAGCGAAGAAAUGGUAGAGGAUGGCGGGUGUCCUGUCCAGAUAGUGUUUUCAUCGCUUCCAUGUACCUCCCUUAUACUCUCGUUUCCCGCUAAUCUGGCUUGUCGUCCUUGCCUUGUUUGCGGGUUGUGUGACACGUACUUGAUUCCGCAUUUCACGUUCCCUUGUUGGGCGUCCCUGGCCUUGGCGACAGGUAGUGGCGUGCUCUUGGGCACUCUGCGUCCUUGCGUAAGACGGAGACGGUGCCGACUGCCCGUGCUCUUGCUCCACCAUUGGUGGUGCUUGAGCUAGCGGCUAUGGCGACAACCUGCAUGAGAGCACGGGAUGUAGGAACAAGGCAGCGCACAAAACAACUUGUAGACAGGAAAAUGAUGCCCAAUUGGACUAGUAGGCAGCGGAGAGUACGCAGGGGGGUGUGGGGGAAGGGGUGAAAAAGCUGUUGGGAGCGGACUGCCUUCGCCGUCAGCCGCCUUGUUGGACCUAGAGCUGAGGGGCAAGGGGAUGACGAUAGGGGAAGCAAGGAAGAGGGAAGACAUAAGAGGGUUCCGGGAGGAGAGAGGCAUCAUCUACCACCCUACGCGUGUGCAUCAGCCGUGGCAGUGGGUGGAUCUGGUGUCUACACGUGAAUCUACUACUCGGGUUGGCAUGACGUGGUUGUUGUGGAGUGAGGUGGAAGAACUAUUGUGCCGAGUGGGUUUGUUUGGUUGUCGGCAGUUGGGCAUUUCUUCUGUGUGGCUCGCGUGCGAGUGAAAUCAUUGGAGCGGCAAUAUUGGAUUUGGGGAAGUGUGUUUAGUGCAAUUGUCGCAUGUGCUGUGCUGUAGAUGAGGCUAUGAUGCUUGUGUGGUUUUUGUGCUACUUUUCCUUGUAAAUUGGCCUGCUUUGUUUGGUUUUCGAUCCAAUUUCCCUUAUAAACCGAAGUACCCAAAUCCUCAAGCUCAUGGUGGAUCAACAACACUGAGUUUGGAGAGAUAGAAGUUGUGUGGUGCUCUAGUCCGGGCCUUCGUUAAUAAAUCGGUCAACAUCGGAAGGCACAUACUAAAGAGCAAUAAUUUGAUCUUGCACACUGGAGCACACAAAGGAAGCAUCAACACCAAUAUGCUUGGUGAGCUCAUGCUUCAAAAGGCCGCACACGAUACUGAUAGCACUUAUACUAUCUGAUAAGAGAGUAGUAGGUGUAGUGAUUGAAACACAAAAUCCUCGAGUAGCCAUCAAAGCCAAGUCACAUCUACUGUUAAAAUAGCCGUACCUCGCAACUUAGCCUCUACACUCAAACAAGAAAGUGUAGUCUGUUUCUUCAUCUUCCAGACAAUGAGAAACCACCAAGAAAAAAAUUAAGCGGAAAGGGGUGACGAAUUUGAGCGUGGGAAGAAGAGACAGCGAGAGAGUCUCAUGAAGAUCCAUGCAAUGAGAAAACCACGAAAACAUAGUAAGCAGAAAGGGAUCAAUGAAUGGGAAGAAGAGACCGCGAGUGUCCCAAGAAAUAUCGUAGAACACAUAUGUGGUGACUAGUGGAUUGAAGUGGGAGGAGAGAAAAACUGACUGGAUGUGGUGACUAUGAACGGGAUAUGAAAUGUGCGGACGAGUGAUUUAAAUAGACAAGACUCCCAACAAGAUGACGGUAGAUGGGGCUAGGAGGGGAGGUUGCCGUUACUGUUGACGAAGCUCUGAGGAGGUGGCGCACGACUUGGUGUUCAAAAUGGUUUCCUUCACAGUCAGACUUUAGACCAGGGCUUUUUACAGUGUGAAUGUGGUCGCGCUAGAGGUCUACCAUCUCUUGGAACGCUGCUGCUUUGAAGACUGACUUAAGAGCCCUGGAGUUGAUCGUGUUGGAAUUGGUCUUCGGGCUUUGUACUCGGUACAACCGGUCGAAGAUUGCAUGCUAGGAGUGCCACUCGCUCUCAUUUUAGAAGAAAAAGUCAUCUUGUCACGCGGUAGAAAUUCCCAUAUUCACAUGGGCUUCUUUGACGCACCUCGGCGUCCAUUCUCCAUAAAUUUGUGGUAUCCUUCAUUUCUGUUCCUCCUGGGCUAGCAAAUCCGAUGUCUAAGCGCCGGCGAAGCUGCCAUCUUGAUGAGGCUGGUAAUUGAACCUGCUUUGCCUGCUAUUUGCCACCAGUUCUUCAACUUUCUUUGUGCCGCUCACACCGGCGUGUCUCAACUCCCCCACGAUUUUCACCUCCUUUUCCUUGCCGUUACCAAAGCCGGAUAGAUGAAGUGGCGCCAAGCUUCUGGCAUUCUCUUUGACAAGAGGGUGCCACAAAAGCUAAAGGCAAGUUUUAUAGGACGGCGGUUUGACCCGCAAUGUUGUAUGGCGCUGAGUGUUAGCCGACUAAAAGGCGACAUGUUCAACAGUUAGGUGUGGCGGAGAUGCGUAUGUUGAGAUGGAUGUGUGGCUACACAAGGAAGGAUCGAGUCC